AGAGUUUGAUCAUGGCUCAGAUUGAACGCUGGCGGCAGGCUUAACACAUGCAAGUCGAACGGUAACAGAGAAUAGCUUGCUAUUUUGUUGACGAGUGGCGGACGGGUGAGUAAUGCUUGGGAAUUUGCCGAAAGGUGGGGGACAACAGUUGGAAACGACUGCUAAUACCGCAUAAUGUCUACGGACCAAAGGUGGCCUCUAUUUAUAUGCUAUCGCCUUUCGAUGAGCCCAAGUGGGAUUAGCUAGUUGGUAAGGUAAUGGCUUACCAAGGCUUCGAUCCCUAGCUGGUCUUAGAGGAUGACCAGCCACACUGGAACUGAGACACGGUCCAGACUCCUACGGGAGGCAGCAGUGGGGAAUAUUGCACAAUGGAGGAAACUCUGAUGCAGCCAUGCCGCGUGUGUGAAGAAGGCUUUCGGGUUGUAAAGCACUUUCAGCGAGGAGGAAAGGGUAGUACUUAAUACGUACUAUCUAUGACGUUACUCGCAGAAGAAGCACCGGCUAACUCCGUGCCAGCAGCCGCGGUAAUACGGAGGGUGCGAGCGUUAAUCGGAAUUACUGGGCGUAAAGCGCGCGUAGGUGGUUAAUUAAGUCAGAUGUGAAAGCCCAGGGCUCAACCUUGGAACUGCAUUUGAAACUGAUUGACUAGAGUUUUGUAGAGGGUGGUAGAAUUUCAGGUGUAGCGGUGAAAUGCGUAGAGAUCUGAAGGAAUACCAGUGGCGAAGGCGGCCACCUGGACAAAGACUGACACUGAGGCGCGAAGGCGUGGGGAGCAAACGGGAUUAGAUACCCCGGUAGUCCACGCAGUAAACGAUGUCUAUUAGAAGUUUGUGGCUAUAUGCCGUGGGUUUCAAAGCUAACGCAUUAAAUAGACCGCCUGGGGAGUACGGCCGCAAGGUUAAAACUCAAAUGAAUUGACGGGGGCCCGCACAAGCGGUGGAGCAUGUGGUUUAAUUCGAUGCAACGCGAAGAACCUUACCAUCCCUUGAUAUCCAGAGAAUCACCUAGAGAUAGAUGAGUGCCUUCGGGAACUCUGAGACAGGUGCUGCAUGGCUGUCGUCAGCUCGUGUUGUGAAAUGUUGGGUUAAGUCCCGCAACGAGCGCAACCCUUAUCCUUAGUUGCCAGCACGUAAUGGUGGGAACUCUAGGGAGACUGCCGGUGAUAAACCGGAGGAAGGUGGGGACGACGUCAAGUCAUCAUGGCCCUUACGGGAUGGGCUACACACGUGCUACAAUGGCAAAUACAAAGGGUUGCUCAC
Molecule: ribosomal RNA, 1259 nt
Filed under: metagenome
Description: bacterial SSU rRNA
Rfam family: Bacterial small subunit ribosomal RNA
Source: RNAcentral